GAUGAACGCUGGCGGCGUGCCUAAUACAUGCAAGUCGAGCGAACGGACGAGAAGCUUGCUUUUCUGAUGUUAGCGGCGGACGGGUGAGUAACACGUGGAUAACCUACCUAUAAGACUGGGAUAACUUCGGGAAACCGGAGCUAAUACCGGAUAAUAUUUUGAACCGCAUGGUUCAAAAGUGAAAGACGGUCUUGCUGUCACUUAUAGAUGGAUCCGCGCUGCAUUAGCUAGUUGGUAAGGUAACGGCUUACCAAGGCAACGAUGAAUAGCCGACCUGAGAGGGUGAUCGGCCACGCUGGAACUGGGCCACGGUCCAGACUCCUACGGGGGGCAGCAGUAGGAAAUCUUCCGCAAUGGGCGAAAGCCUGACGGAGCAACGCCGGGUGAGUGAUGAAGGUCUUCGGAUCGUAAAACUCUGUUAUUAGGGAGGAACAUAUGUGUAAGUAACUGUGCACAUCUUGACGGUACCUAAUCAGAAAGCCACGGCUAACUACGUG
Molecule: ribosomal RNA, 497 nt
Filed under: uncultured bacterium
Lineage: Bacteria
Description: partial 16S ribosomal RNA
Rfam family: Bacterial small subunit ribosomal RNA
Source: RNAcentral